AGACAUAUAAUAAUAAUUCUCUAACUCUAAGAUUUUUCUAGAAGGUAACUUCAAUAGAUAUGUUCCUACAGCUGCAGCUUGGAUGGACUCUCCUCCAGUACCAUAGAACUCGAAGCCACAUUUCAGUAAAACUCUAAGAUUCUACAGUCCCUACAAUAACUUGCAGAUAUGAGUGCCGUAAGUGGUAUCCAAUACACAAGAGUUUCAUAUAGAAGAACUU
Molecule: long non-coding RNA, 220 nt
Filed under: Elaeis guineensis (African oil palm)
Lineage: Eukaryota; Viridiplantae; Streptophyta; Magnoliopsida; Arecales; Arecaceae
Description: long non-coding RNA (EGUI_LNC017047)
Source: RNAcentral